This 743-nucleotide ribosomal RNA is filed under the name uncultured bacterium. Its description in RNAcentral is "bacterial SSU rRNA". It matches the Rfam family "Bacterial small subunit ribosomal RNA", at positions 94 to 823 of the family's 1533-position model. The record is from RNAcentral.
AGCGGCGGAUGGGUGAGUAACACGUGGGGAACCUGCCCCUAAGUCUGGGAUACCAUUUGGAAACAGGUGCUAAUACCGGAUAAUAAAGCAGAUCGCAUGAUCAGCUUUUGAAAGGCGGCGUAAGCUGUCGCUAAGGGAUGGCCCCGCGGUGCAUUAGCUAGUUGGUAAGGUAACGGCUUACCAAGGCGACGAUGCAUAGCCGAGUUGAGAGACUGAUCGGCCACAUUGGGACUGAGACACGGCCCAAACUCCUACGGGAGGCAGCAGUAGGGAAUCUUCCACAAUGGACGCAAGUCUGAUGGAGCAACGCCGCGUGAGUGAAGAAGGUUUUCGGAUCGUAAAGCUCUGUUGUUGGUGAAGAAGGAUAGAGGUAGUAACUGGCCUUUAUUUGACGGUAGUCAACCAGAAAGUCACGGCUAACUACGUGCCAGCAGCCGCGGUAAUACGUAGGUGGCAAGCGUUGUCCGGAUUUAUUGGGCGUAAAGCGAGCGCAGGCGGAAAAAUAAGUCUAAUGUGAAAGCCCUCGGCUUAACCGAGGAACUGCAUCGGAAACUGUUUUUCUUGAGUGCAGAAGAGGAGAGUGGAACUCCAUGUGUAGCGGUGGAAUGCGUAGAUAUAUGGAAGAACACCAGUGGCGAAGGCGGCUCUCUGGUCUGCAACUGACGCUGAGGCUCGAAAGCAUGGGUAGCGAACAGGAUUAGAUACCCUGGUAGUCCAUGCCGUAAACGAUGAGUGCUAAGUGU